CAGGAAAAGAAUUUGAGCUCUCUCUCUAGAGGAAGAUCUUCUGAGUUCACCCCCAAGGGAUAAUCGACAGUAAAGGAAAUGAAUGGAACGUUUCAGGGCACUGCUAGCCUUAGUACGAUGUGAAGAAUGAGGGCAACACAUUCCACACACAGUUCCAAGAACGCUCCUUUCUUCAGCUCUCCGCUGUAUGGACUGUGCUUGAGAAGACACUGUGUAACUACCAUCCCUG
Sus scrofa (pig) is the source of this 229-nucleotide non-coding RNA. Lineage: Eukaryota; Metazoa; Chordata; Mammalia; Artiodactyla; Suidae. The record is from RefSeq and is a predicted model, not a curated record.